UAUGCUAAUGAGGUGAUUCAUUCUCCGCCAAUCACUGGAGGACAAGUAGUGGGGUGAUCCAAGCCCCACCAAUCCCUGAGAGAUAAUUAGCAUACAGUUGUCUAUAUAAGUCGAGUGAUUUUGCUGCUCGGAGUCCCUGUUUAAGAGAGCUGUAACACUAAGAAGAGCUGUAACACUGAGAAGAGCUGUAACAAUAAGAAGAGCUGUAACACUGAGAAGAGCUGUAACACUGAGAAGAGCUGUAACACUGAGAAGCGCUGUAACACUAAGAAGAGCUGUCACACAGUAAAGGCUUGCUCGAAGAAGAAUCCUGUGGCCGUGCGUUGUUCUUGCUGGGGGGACAUUGGACACACGAUAAGUGGUGCCGAAACCCGGGAACCAACAUCGCCGGUGCCGAGGGGACCCUUCAGUGUGCUGAAGAGGAUUCAGAACUGCGAGAAGGUAAAUUAAAAGGCAAGCUCCAAGAGGCAUGCCCCUUUUUGGAUUUAGUCUUGCCAUGGAGGGAUUGUUGCUCGUUUUUAUAGUGACUGUUGUCUUCUUACUAGUUGUGUUAAAAUGUGAGGACAUAGUCAAGGCAGGACAGAACAUUCAAGAGAGAAUGUCAGAAACGGAGCAGAGUGAGAAAUUAGGAGCACGCAAAAAGAAAAAGGUUACUAAAACAAAAGUGAAAGAGAUACAAAAGGCGGAAGAAAUGCCGCUGGAGGAAAAAAUAGGUAUGCCCGGGAGGAUGAAGUACAAGUCAUCCGGAGAGGAUACUUUGUAUCCAUUAAAAGAAUCAGAAGCCUUAGAACUGACUGGUAGUGACUCUGAGCAAGAGUUGUCAGAGUCGGAGGAGGAGGAAUUAGAGGAAGAGGCAGCCAGAUAUGACGAAGAAAGAUAUGGGCCUAGGUGGAGAGCCACUGUGAAGAAACUGAAAGUUAUUAAUGCUGCAGUGGCCUCCACUUCCCCGCCUUAUAUAGAGGGGAAGUGUGAGUACUCUUUCUGUCCACCUGAAACACAGCGAGCACUUAGGCAAAUGUUUCCUGUAUUUGAGGACGAUGGCGUUCAUUCUCAUCAGCCCCUAGAGCACAAGCAAGUUAAGGAACUGGCAGAGUCUGUUCGUGCCUAUGGGGUUACUGCUAAUUUCACCAUGUCACAGGUAGAAAGACUAGCAAGCAUUGCCAUGACUCCAGCAGACUGGCAAUCUGUGACAAAGGCCUGUCUCCUUAGCAUGGGACAGUAUAUUGAGUGGAAGGCAUUGUGGCACGAUGCUUGCCAAGCACAAGCACGCGCAAAUGCAGCAGCAGGACAACCUGCCUGGACAUUUGACAUGUUAACUGGACAAGGGCAAUGGACCAAUAAUCAAACUGCCUUCCCCUUGGAGGUAUAUGCCCAGAUUGCUAUUAGUGCUGUCAAGGCAUGGAAAGCUCUAACUAACAGAGGAGAGGUGUCCGGGAACCUGACCAAGGUCAUCCAAGGACCAAGUGAGCCUUUCUCAGAUUUUGUGGCCCGCAUGAUGGAGGCUGCUGGUAGGAUUUUUGGAGACCAAGACCAGGCUAUGCCCUUAAUAGAACAGUUAGUUUUUGAACAAUGUACCAAAGAAUGCCGCAAUGCAAUCCUCCCCUGGAAAUCUAAGGGGCUGCAGGCUUGGCUGAAAGCCUGUAGGGAAAUAGGAGGACCACUUACCAAUACCGGUCUAGCUGUGGCUAUAUUACAAUGACAAAGGCGGCCUGGCCUCUCUAGUAGAGGCAUCAUGUGUUUCCAAUGUGGAAAGCCUGGUCAUAUGAAAAGGGAGUGCAGGAAUCAGAAUCCUGGCUUUAAUCCAAAGAAAGUCCCAGGACUGUGUCCAAAGCGUAAGAAAGGGAAGCAUUGGGCCAAUGAGUGCAGGUCAGUAAAGGACAUAACGGGGAAACCCUUGGAUGUGUCAAAAAACGUCCAACGGGGCCCCCGUCCUCAGGGCCCUCAAAUAUAUGGGGCAACCACCUCCCCAGUAACCUGGGCUAAUCAAGGUUCCCCAGGAUGGCCACUCCGGGUUCCGCAGGAUUAGACCUCCGUGCCACCUCCAGAAUCGUCCUAACCCCUCAAAUGGGGGUGCAGCCUAUCCCCUCUGACUUUCAUGGCCCUUUACCACCCCAUACAGUUGGGCUGCUUUUAGGACGCUCCUCUACUACUCUUAAAGGAUUGGUGGUACAUCCUGGGGUUAUUGAUCAAGAUUAUGAGGGCCAGUUGAAGAUCAUGUGCUCCUCCCCACGAGGUCUCUUCUCCAUUUCCCCAGGUGACCGGAUUGCACAAUUGCUUGUUUUACCCAGUUGUCACGCCCAGUUUAAAUCGGGAAGUACAAAAAGAGGAAAGAAGGGUUUCGGCUCUACGGGCACUGAUUCAGCAUAUCUUAUGGUCGAUUUACACGCUCGACCUACUCUGAUCCUAACCAUUGAAGGAAAGACAUUUGAGGGAAUUCUAGAUACAGGGGCAGACAAAAGCAUUAUAUCCACUAAAUGGUGGCCUACAAAAUGGCCCAUUACUCAAUCUUCCCAUUCAUUACAAGGUUUAGGUUAUGAAGCUAGUCCAACUGUUAGCUCUAGGCCCUUAAAGUGGAAAGCCCCAGAAGGACAGGAGGGUAGUUUCGUCCCAUAUGUUCUUCCUUUACCUGUCAACUUAUGGGGAAGAGAUAUUUUGGCUGAGUUAGGGCUUAAACUUAUAAAUGAGAAUUCCCUACCAGCACAGAGAAUGGUGAAGGAUAUGGGGUAUGUCCCAGGAAAAGACAUUGGUAAGCAUCACCAAUUCAACCCACUGCAAAACCCGAUCGUCACGAUCUGGGUUUUUCUUAGGGGCCAUUGAGGGGGCUAUGCCCAUACCGUGGAUAACAUAGGAGGCUGUAUGGGUUCUUCAAUGGCCUCUCUCCUCUGAAAAGCUGGAGGCCGCUCACCAAUUAGUAAAGGAACAGUUGCAAUUAGGACAUCUGGAACCUUCAAGCUCACCCUUGAAUACUCCAAUAUUUGUUAUAAAAAAGAAGUCAGGAAAAUGGAGACUAUUGCAUGAUCUUAGAGCAAUUAAUACACAAAUGAAAUUGUAUGGAUCAGUCCAACGCGGUCUUCUGCUUCUUUCUGCCUUGCCAAAGCAAUGGGAGGUUAUUGUAAUAGAUAUUAAGGAUUGCUUUUUCUCUAUUCCUUUACAUCCUAAGGAUAAAGAGAGGUUUGCCUUUACUCUGCCUGCAAUAAAUCAUGUGGAGCCUGAUGAGCGCUAUCAAUGGAAAGUCUUGCCUCAGGGGAUGGCAAACAGCCCCAAUAUAUGUCAGUUAUAUGUACAACAGGCCCUGACUCUUGUCAGAGGGCAAUAUCCAUCACUAACGAUUCUUCAUUACAUGGAUGAUAUACUCCUUGUGGAUCCAAACCUCAAGAGCUUGAGAUAGCAUAUGCUGACUUAAUUAAGCAUUUGCAACAGUUUGGGCUAACUAUAGCUACUGAAAAGGUUCAGAGAUCGCUGAUGGGCAAGUUUUUAGGAGCCGUUGUACAUCCAGAAGUUAUUACUCCACAAAAAAUUGAAAUCAGGCGAGAUCACCUACAAACUUUAAAUGAUUUCAAAAACUUUUGGGAGAUAUUAAUUGGCUACGGCCAUUCCUGAAAAUAUCUACUGCUGAGUUAAAACCUUUGUUUGAUAUAUUGGAAGGGGAUCCGCAAUUAACAUCCCCGUGAUCCCUGUCUAUGGAGGCUGUAGAGGCCCUCCGAAAGGUGGAGAAGACUCUUUCUGAGGCUCAAUUAGUAAGGAUACAACCUGAUGAACCUUUUGAGCUAUGUGUUUUGCAAACUGCUAAAUUACCCACUGCGGUGUUAUGGCAGAAUGGCCCCUUACUUUGGAUUCACCCACAAGCCUCUCCGGCUAAAACCAUAGAGUGGUACCCCUCAACGGUGGCAAGAUUGGCUAUGAGAGGACUAAAAGUAGCUGUAACUCAUUUUGGUAAACAUCCAAUAAAAAUUGUUAUACCCUAUACUGCAGAACAGCUCCAAGUGCUGGCUGCUACAAAUGAUGACUGGGCAAUACUUGUGUGCAUCUUUUCAGGGGUGUUUGAUAAUCACUACCCCAGGCACCCCAUUUUGACCUUUGCAAAAUGUCAUCCCCUUGUGUUUCCCCGGGUUACCAGCAUGGAACCCCUUCAGGCAGGGGAUAUUGUUUAUACGGAUGGAUCGAAAACUGGUUUGGGUACUUAUGUGCAUGACGGUAAAGUGGUAACUAAGCAAUUUAUCCCUAAUUCCCCUCAAUUAGUUGAGUGUUAGAUUGUAUUGGAAGUGCUCUGAGUGUUCCCUAGUCCAUUAAAUAUUGUUUCAGAUUCCUCCUAUGUGGUUAAUUCAGUUAAAUCUUUAGAAGUUGCGGGAAUGAUUAGAACCACUAGUACAGUAGCUUCUAUGUUUCUGGAGAUCCAGCAGGAGUUACUAUCUCGGCAUUCCCCUUUUUUCAUCACCCAUAUAAGGGCUCAUUCAGGGUUGCCUGGCCCAAUGUCUCAUGGGAAUAACCUGGCCGAUUUGGCUACUAGAGCGACUACGUUUGCUGUGCUGACUCCUGUGGAAGCUGCCACCCAGUUCCAUUCCUUGUUUCAUGUUACUGCUGAGACCUUACGCAGACGUUUUCCUAUUUCUAGAACAGAGACCAGAAAAAUAGUGCUUCGCUGCGGUAAUUGCAGUGUGUUUAUUACCACCCCACAUGUGGGCAUUAAUCCCCGUGGCCUUCGACCCCUGCAGGUUUGGCAGAUGGAUGUUACCCAUGUCCCCGCCUUUGGAAAAUUAAAGUAUGUGCAUGUUUCCAUCAAUACAUGCUCCGGGGUCAUAGUUGCUUCUCCCUUGUUUGGGGAAAAGGCCUCUCAUGUCAUUGCCCACUGUCUUGAGGCUUGGAGUGCUUGGGGUCUUCCUAGGCUGCUCAAGACUGACAAUGGCCCUUCUUAUACUUCAGAAAAGUUUAAACAUUUCUGCAAUCAGAUGGGUGUUGCACACCUGACAGGACUUCCUUAUAAUCCUCAAGGCCAAGGAAUCAUUGAACGUGCCCAUCGCACAUUAAAGGCUUAUUUAAAUAAACAAAAAGGGGGAAUUGGUGAGGUGCCGCCAACCCCCAAGGUUGCCAUCUCCACUGCACUUCUUACUUUAAAUUUCUUAAAUUUAGACGCCCAUGACUAUUCGGCGGCAGAACGCCAUGGGCAGUGGCCUAUCCAACCCAAGGAUCAGGUGAAGUGGAAGGAUGUACUCACUGGAGAAUGGAAAGGCCCGGAUCCUUUUCUAAUAUGAUCCAGGGGAGUGAUUUGUGUUUUUCCGCAGAAUCAAGAAAAUCCAAUUUGGGUACCUGAGCGUUUGACUCGAAAAUUGCCUUCUGCUCUUCCUGAAGAUGAGGCGAUGAACCCUACUAUUACUACUGGGAAUGAUAAUACAGGUUAAUUCGCUCACCCUGUGGGCUAUUGCCAGAUCCUGGCCAGUACCCAUGCCAGUUCAUAGCAAUUCUACUGUUUUGAGAAUAAGACUGGCAAGCAUAAUCUCUGGCCUUGGUUUCAAUGGGUGCUGUCCAAUGAGCAAGGGGCAUAUACAUCCCUGACCCCCUUUGCUAGGUUGAUGGGAGAGAACUUCGUGCUGUAUAAUGUUUCAGCUACCAGAAAAAGGUGAUACCAGGUUGAUCAAUAUUCAAUAUAAUAACCUCUUGGUAAAUAAUACUGCCACUAGUACUUCAGUAUGUGCUAGAUCACCUUUUUUCUGAUAAGCACUAAUGUAAGCAGUGGUGCUUUGAAUUGUAAUAGCUCUGAUGUAAUCUGCUAUGUAGCUGAAUGCUGGGAUGGCACUAAUGACACCGCAGUGAUGGUUAAGAUUCCCUCCUUUGUGCCAAUCCUAGUGGAGGCAAACCCAGAUAACUUUCCUAUUCUUAAUUUGCUGAGAGCCAAAAGAGAUUUUGGAAUUACGGCAGCCAUAAUUUCAGCCAUUGUGCUGUCUGCUGCCGCAGCUACCACAGCUGAAAUCGCUAUGGCCAAUCAAAUACAGAUGGCUAAGACUGUCAAUCAGAUUGUAUAAAGAACUGCAGUGGCACUAGAGAUACAAGAAGAAUUUAAUACCCAUUUGGCAUCUGGCCUUCUAUUAGCCAAUCAAAGGAUAGAUUUAGUUCAAGAACAAAUUGAAGCACUGUAUCAUAUGACACAGCUGUCUUGUGUUUCCUCCUUUAGAGGUUUAUGCAUUAUUCCUUUGCGAGCUAACUUUUCUCAGGAUUUUCAACAGAACAAAGAAAUCUCGAAUUAUCUGAAAGGAAACUGGUCCAUGAAAGCAGAGCAACUAUCAAGACAAUUGCUGAUGCAGAUUGCUGUCCUCAACAGCACUAGGCUGGACCCCAUCACAGUUGAAGACUUUACCUCAUGGGUUACCAAUGCUUUCUCCCUUUUUAAGGAGUGGGCGGGCAUGUUUGUCCCGGGGAGCUAUUGUCCUCCUGGGAUGCGGAGUAGGUCUCUGGCUUAUUGGCCGUUUAAAAAGAGAACAUGCCAGACACAAAGUGGUUGUUUACCAGGCUAUGACUACCAUUAAAAAGGGUACUUCUCCCAACAUAUGGCUGGCCUCUUUGAAAGAUCAAGAGUUCGCCCUAGAUCAUUUUUGUCACAGUCAUGUGGAGUCAUUGUAUGCAGGGACGGGCAACUUUCCUCGAACUUGGACCAACCUAAGACACGGGGCCCGGUGGCGAUAGGGUAACUCUAUGACGGGUAAGGCCAAGUUUGGAUGAGAACGACCUAAGACAGGACAAUGACAAGAUUGACGUGACACCCAGAUCUAGACCAGUCAUUUUAUUAAACAAAAAAGGGGGAGAUGUAGAGAGCGGCGCGGUGAAACAAAGAUGGCGCCGACAUCCAGCCUUGUCUGGAUAUAAACGACUUACUGCGCAUGUGCAGGCUUGUCCCCUUGCUAGGGCUCCCUCUAGUGGUGAACAGCGGUACUGCACAUGUGCGGUUUAUGCACCAGGUGUCAGUUGACCGUUAAUAUGCUAAUGAGGUGAUUCAUUCUCUGCCAAUCACUGGAGGACAAGUAGUGGGGUGAUCCAAGCCCCACCAAUCCCUGAGAGAUAAUUAGCAUACAGUUGUCUAUAUAAGUCGAGUGAUUUUGCUGCUCGGAGUCCCUGUUCAAGAGAGCUGUAACACUAAGAAGAGCUGUAACACUUUGAAGAGCUGUAACACUAAGAAGAGCUGUAACACUGAGAAGAGCUGUAACACUAAGAAGAGCUGUAACACAGUAAAGGCUUGCUCGCAGAAUCCUGUUGCCGCGCGUCGUUCUUGCUGGCGGGACAUUGGGUGCGUGACAGAGCACUGCUGGGAUGUGAUUCCCCCCAUUCUGAAACGAUCCAGAGCCUCAGCCUCAGGUACUCUGUCAUAGCAGCACAAAAUGGGAUCAGGAUACUACCCAGUCAUAUGAAGGAAGGAAAAUAUGACACAUGGAAAAGGAGGGACCUUGAAAACAUUAUGCAAGACAGCCUCAGCCAUACGAGUGCUACUAUUGGUGAGGGCAAGACAGAGACAGUACAGGAAGGAGCCCAGAUCCUGGCCCCAAGGUCUGCUCACCCUCUGGCCACGCAGCUGUUCUUCACAGGCAUCUAGUGCAAGCUGUUGGGUCAGUGGUGGCAUAGUCUAUCUCUUCUAUCCAGUGUUGUGUUAGAGGUGACCACAUGAACUGUUGGCACACCUUUGGACUAUAAACAGGGGCCAGUUUAUUUUGUAAUUAGUCUGCACUUUAUUUCCAUUCUCCAGGAUAUCAGUGCCAAAGGGCAGCUCUUACCUAGCUUAUUCUGGAAUCAAAUGUGAGUGACCAUGGCCAAGGAGCAGUUGCCAGUUACCCUAAGCACCACCCAUGUUCAAUGUGGUAACAGUUUCGUGGGGUUUUAUAAUAGCCAAUCAAGGGAAUCUUUCUUUUAUGUGUAUGAGUGCUCUAUCUGCAUAUACACCCGUGUGCCAGAAGAGGGCCACGGAUCCCAUUACGGGUGGCUGUAAGCCACCAUGUGGUUGCUGGGAAUUGAACUCAGGAUCUCUGGAAGAGCAGUGAGUGUUCUUAACCGCUGAGCCACCUCUCCAGCCCCCAAUCAAGAGAAUCUUAAAUCAAGACUCUUCAAGGUCAGGCAGUGGUGACACACAUCUUUAAUCCCAGCACUCAGGAGGCAGAGGCAAGCAGAUCUCAGAGUUCGAGGCCAGCCUGGUCUACAGAGUGAGUUCCAGGACAGCCAGGAUUACACAGAGAAACCUUGGGUCAAAACAUUCUCCUCUGUGGUGCUCCCCACCCCCAAAAACUCCACCCCCAAAAACUCCUCAAAUACAUCAGUGGACACGUUGAGCAGACAUAUCAAAGCAAACCUGUGAUAAAUCUCAGGUUUUGGCCUCCAACAGGCUUGGAUGACAUGUUUAGUCUCUUAGUUGAUCUGUGUAUAUCCCAAAUGAUUUUCCUAAUAGUCAUAAAGAAGCUAAGUCACAUACAAGAGGUCAAUAAUAAAUGGCUAUUAAGGGGUCCCAAAAGCCCAAGAAAAUUUGUAAUUUGGGCCUGGACCUGCAACACUCCAACCUUUCUACAAUCACUGAAGUUUUAUUAGCCCAUGGUCAAGCAGGCGUGCUAUAUUUCUAGGAAUUUUGGUUCACAGUGAGAGAAGGAACUCACUUGGCUGGUGGCAUAAGGGAAGGUCAGAGCUGUGGAAGGAUCUCAACACCACCACGAACUCCAAGGAGUGUAUCUUGUAAAUAAAAGAGGCUGUGGUUCCUCAGGAACACUGGCAACUGUGGUGAGACAGGAGCUCAGUGUUUCCAAGUCCCCAGGGCUGAGCCUGUCAGAGCUCACCUGAGGACUUUGCUGGUGCAGGUCCUGGGGACAGAAGGAUGAACUGGAUGAAUCUGGCUCUCACCAGCUUUCACACCCAGUCAUCCCAAUGCCAGUGAGAGCAACAUCCUUGCUGGAGACAGGAGAAUGCUGGCACUGAGAGGGUGGCUGGGCAAAGCAAGGUGGCAGGGGCACAUCAGAAUGGGAAAAGAAACCAUGUGGUUCCUGUCCUCCAGCCUUCCUUGAAAACUGCAGGGAAACAGGCCCACUGGCAGCGGCAGUCAAGGGGGCUGCUGUUGUCUUGUCCACAGCAGGAGCCAGCACCCUCCGGUGUAGAAAGACUUAGCACCAUUUGUAUAUGGGGUAUCCACAUGGCUGUUGGCACAUGCUUGGACUAGAUAGUCACAUUUCAAAAUGGUUUUUAAACUAGCCUAGCCACCAGUAUGCAGAAAUGCCUCAGGCAGUGCCACAGGCUUUGGGGGAGUCAGGAAGUGGGUGCCAUCCUACUGGCCCUGACUUAAUGAAUUAGAGGCACAGCCUAAUUAGGUGGACUUGGAACCUGUGGGUGGUACAGAGAGGCCAUCUCUGCCUCUGCUGGUCUUGAAAGAAUCAGAGCCAGGGGAGAGGAACCUUCAAACACAGCAUGGGCCCUCUAGACCUGAGUGUCAACCCUGAACAGUAGCCAGAAGCCUUAGGACCUAAGUGACCCUCAACCUCUGGACUAACAGCUCGGACUCCUUCCAUAGCACCAAGACCAUGAACAUGAAUUCUCUUUUUAUCUGAGCCCUCUGGAUCCAGGAAAGCCCCCAUGCUGACUCCAUCCUAAAAAGCCUAUCACUGCUAUUCUGACGUCUCUGUUCCAUGGGUGGUCCUUAUAAGCAGCAGUCUAAAUAAUUGGGGUUUGCUAAUUGGGCAUGGGGAAACAGGAGUGUAAUCCCAAUGCCCAAGAGGCUGAGGCAGAAGUAUCCCAACUUCCAGGCCAACUUAAGCUAUAGGGUAAGAACUUGUUGGCAGAAAACAUGUAAGAAAAGAAAAAGAAAACAACCAGGCCUCAGAUAGAGUAGCAGAAAGGAACUUGUGGGUCUACAGUUGGGUGUUCAAAGAGGAAGUCUACCCAAGCUGGUGUCCUUGUAUCCAAGAAGAGACAGGAUACCAGGAAGGAGCUCAGAGGAGCCUCUAGCUCAAAAGCCAGCCUACCCUCUCCAGAGUUGCCUAGGUAAGGCACUCUGGGAGUUCACUAAUGAUGAUGUUGCUUGGGUGGUCUAUGCUCUGAAGAUGGGUCUGUAGGCUAUGAGAGUUAGUGUGGCAAACUGUGGCACUGAAGGCUAUUGUCUGGGAGGGCAGGCUGCACUCACAGCUCUCCCAGGGGCAUUCUACUCUGAGCCCUAAGCAUCUUAGUCCAGAAGCUGACAUCUAUCCCUGUGGACUAAGGCUACAAGCUUAUCUCCCCUUGGGACAAUGCCAACAAAUGUACUUGAACACUGAAUGUCUGCCCAGAUGGUUCUUAAAGUAACUGUUCCUCUAUGAAAUGACUUUGCCUCACAUUCCAAAGAAACCAACUGUUUGACCUGAGAAACAAAUAUUUGUACAAUUGUCUGAUUAAGCAAGCUUUAUUUAGGUUGGCCAGACAGCUGCCUCUCCUGGGGAUUCCAGAGAGCGGUCUUUCAUAGGGCUUGAGAUCCCUUUUACUGGAGAAGGGUAAGGGUUGAUGGAAAAUAGCUGUUAAGAGAAUUGGCUGUUAGCAUCUGGACAGAAGUGAGGGGGACUCAGGAUUCAAGGCUGCCUGUGGGUUAGAUAAGUGCAAAAGUAUAUCUGGUGGAAGGGGCGACAUCACAGCGUUUGGGAGUUUAACAAGGCUACGGGGUGAGGGGUAUUGGGGGGGUGGAUAUUCUUCACAGGGUUACAAGUUCAACAUCGGUUAAAAUACUCUGCAGAAUUCAUUAGGUUAAGGAAACAAACUUACCUUGUAAGGCACAGAAACUUAGUAACAAUGUAUAACAAUAUUGCUCCUUUAAUAACAAUGUAGCUCUUUUGGUUUCGUACAACCCUCUACCCUAACCUGCCUGUACCUUUACUCUCCCACUAAGGCUAAUGGACCACACAGGCCCUUUUAUGGGGUAUGUGGUGAAGCCAACAUCCUUCUCCUUGGGUGUUCCUUGGAUGCAACAUGGGAUGCUCCUCCCAUGAACAUCCCCCACCCCAUCCCUGACCUCAGUUCAUUUGGGUGUUUUCAAUGGAUCCUUGUUCUCUGCCUGAGUCACUGUACCAAAAGACAACCACAACCCCUUUCUCAACCUGGCUGGGCCCUGGGAGAGAAAAGAAGGUGCCAGGAGGCACCUUCCCAGAUUUCUUAAGCUGCACCCCCUGGGGCCUGGCAGGAGGGACAGCUGAGUUUCACAGCACCUAGAACUAGCACCAGCCCCCUUCUCCACUCAGCUUUAGCCUGAGCUUGGUUUCUUAAAACCACCUAAGGAUGUGCUUGGCUGGGAUGAGCAGUGUUUCUAGCCCAGCCCUGAGGGGGUGGGAUCAAGUACUGAGGACCCUGAGGGCAGUUUGUUUUAUCAACAACACAAACUGGUCAGGUGGGCCCCUCAGGUCCUCACAGUGCAGGUGACCAAAUGCCCCUGGGUGGCUCAGUCAGGUCUGUGAAGAGGAAGCUCAGUGGUGACCUUCCAGUUCACUGCUUCCAUUCAAAGUGUCCAGAUCUUAUCGCCCUAGAGCUUUAAAUUGGAAAUUAAUAGUAAAAAAACGCAGCUCCAGUUUCUCAGAUUCAACACAUUUCCCUUGAGAACAUUUGUAAAGUAGUUUGAAGGGAUGAAGGAGAAAAAUCUGGCUUCUAUCUGGAAGCCUGAGAGCCAUGCUUAUUGGGAAAUAUAAAGGUUAAUAUUCAGUUAAGGGGUUCAUUUUUUAUUUUGAAAUAACCUUAGAUUUAUUAUUUUUUUAAAAAUAGUUGCAAAAAAC
Molecule: non-coding RNA, 11738 nt
Organism: Rattus norvegicus (Norway rat)
Lineage: Eukaryota; Metazoa; Chordata; Mammalia; Rodentia; Muridae
Source: RefSeq, a predicted model, not a curated record